AAGAAAAGCAAGAAGCAUGUUACAAAUUGAACAUACAAUCCAUGAACAGAGCUGUGACACCAAUUAAAUGGGCUGCCUGCAACGUCUGCAUCUUCCCUUGGGUGAUGGCAUAGCAUGAAAGCUUUCCAUAGCAUUAAGCUGCUAUACAAGUGGGUGCCCCUAUCUGCAGCAGCACUCUGAAUCAUUAAAUUACUGACCAGACUCAAUGAUCUUUCACACACAAUCCAGACCCACUAGAGUACAAACCAAGUGUGGUUGAACACCAGCUAUAGACACUGCAGCAAUGGCAUGAACCAUAAGAACAAUAAACACCUUGGUAGUUAAAAUAGGAGAGGUGGUAUUACUGUACUACAUUGUACUAUAGCAAAUAUCAUAAAUAACUAACACUCUACACAUAGAAAGAGCUGAAUGAGUGACACCAGCCCGUUUACUUUAACAAAGAGUUGACUUUCAACUACAAACAAGAACUUGAGAAGCUCCAACAAGCCUUCAAGCUCAUCGUCAUCCUAAAGCUUUAAGACUCCACAUUUCCACAGCUCACUUCUGUUGCCAACUGUGAACAAAAUGACAUUACCACAUUAAAAAUAAGGAAUGCCUCGGCUCUCCAGUUUACCUUGAGGCACAAGACAGCGAGCUGAGGAGUCACGUUGGAUUUUCCAGCAGCUUCACAGAUUAUUUGAAGGUGAAUGAAAAGCUGCUGAUAGGAGCUUCGGCAGGCUCAUUGUAUCUAAUGGCAUCAGUUUAGGAGGGAGGCCAUAGCACCCUCAGUUAACAACGCUGCCACAUCCAAAGCCUGUGGGUCUAAGAGCAGCAAGGUCAAGGCUGUCACCUGGCACAGGGUAACGCUGCCUGAUCGUGCAGUCCCACUACUGAUGGGCAACGCUACCUGAGCACAUGGUGACCUCUCCCAGCAGGAGAGCUGUGAAAGCAGGGAAGGCUUUGCAAACCUCAUUCGUCAUCACACCAAGGCAUGGACACACUGCUGGCAGUUCUGCAACGCAUCCAACGUGCAGUUAAGCACAAUGGUCGCUCCUCCACGCACAUCAAGGAGAACAAACCUCAACGUGAGUGCACCAAAAUCCCGGUGACCGCCGACUACACACCGUCUAAUUCAACCCCAGAGGCGAUGACUCAACAUUUAAAGUAUUCCAUUAGAGCCUCAGCGAGGAGAACCCCGCGGAGAAAGGAAAACGCCGAGAGGACCCUGCGUGCAAUAGAUACAGCCAGGAAAAAGCAACGAGCGGCCAAGGACGGACACGAGGCUUUGGGAGCCCGCACCGCCCCAAGGCCUCACUGUGCUGCGGGGACCGAAAUGAAUCGCGGCCGGUCUCGGCCCGCGCCCCCCGCCCCGCAGCGCCGCUCCCAGCCCCGCGGCGCCCACACAAAGGAUCCCGCGCUUCGCCCCGCGCGGGGCCGCGCCGCGAACAAUGGCAUUUACAUGGGAUACCCAAAUGAACGCGGUUCCCACGCACGGAUCCGGCGCUGCUCAACGGGAGGAGGGAUAACAAGGGAUCUCGAUCACCGAGGGAUCCAGAGGGAUCCCCCCCCCUCCGGCACCGAACAAAAGGGCGCGGGUCGGGGCCGGGCCGGGCGGCCCGCGGGACCCUCGGCAGGGCCCGAAGGACAAAGGGCAGCGGCCCCGGCUCGGCCCGGCUGCGGAGCGGCAGAAAAUGGCCACCUCCCCUGGUUGCGGUGCGGCCGGCCCGCACAAGGGGUCUUUGUGUGCCGGACCCGCGCCUCAGCGCCGCCUCCCGCCGCACCGAUCCCGGCCGCCAUCCCCCCCCCCGUCCACAACCAACCUCCCUCGGCCGCCCCACGGAGCGGUGGAUGCCGCUGCCCCCUGCCCCACCUGUGUGUGCAGCGCCGCUCCCCGCAGCUCGCGCCGCCCGCCGGCUCCUCAGCCCCGCUCCGCUCCGCCCCCCGCCCGCCGCGCGCCUUUAGCGCCACACCGAGCCCUCCGCCCCCCUCUCGCCGCCGCCUCGAGUCCCGCCCCCGCCGCCGCCGCACGCCGCGCGCUCAUUGGUUCCCUCACACGUCCGUCUUCCGCCGCUCGCUCGCCCAUUGGCCCGCCGCGCGGCCUCUCCGCGGCCACGGCCAUAGCAACCUCCGCACGCUUACCCUCCAAACCCCGCCUCCUCGCUUCGCCCCGCCCCGCUGCUCUCAUUGGCCGCUCGGUUUUAAACUCUCCUCUCAUUGGGCGCUCGCCACGCCCGUCACGGCGAGCCUCGCCCCGCGCUGCAGCACGCCCGGCGGGGGGCGCGGCGCGUUCACGGCGCUGCAGCGGGCGGUGCGCGCGGUGCCGCAGAGCGGGGCGGGAACGCGCCUCCCCCUCAGGAGGGACCGGGCCGGGAAUGUAACACCACAGCAACACAUCGCUAUACAUCUCCAUGCAGUAACAAGGUUUCGCUCUCAGCCAUCUCAGUGGUGA
RNAcentral lists this long non-coding RNA (2428 nucleotides) under Coturnix japonica (Japanese quail). RNAcentral describes it as "lncRNA (ENSCJPG00005020555.1)". The record is from RNAcentral. Lineage: Eukaryota; Metazoa; Chordata; Aves; Galliformes; Phasianidae.